UACAGAGGUCUCAACCGUUGUUCGGAUUCAUUGGGCGUAAAGGGUGCGUAGGCGGUCGUGCAAGUCGGAUGUGAAAUCUCAGGGCUCAACCCUGAAACUGCAUUCGAUACUGCGCGGCUAGAGUGCUGGAGGGGAGACUGGAAUUUACGGUGUAGCAGUGAAAUGCGUAGAUAUCGUAAGGAAGACCAGUGGCGAAGGCGAGUCUCUGGACAGCAACUGACGCUGAGGAGCGAAAGCGUGGGGAGCGAACAGG
Molecule: ribosomal RNA, 253 nt
Filed under: uncultured bacterium
Lineage: Bacteria
Description: partial 16S ribosomal RNA
Rfam family: Bacterial small subunit ribosomal RNA
Source: RNAcentral